UUCCCUCUCUAUUUUACCCUCAACUUUCAUCAUUAUAGUUUGUCCUCCACUACCAUCAGACGUUUACCAUAUAAAUUCUAUUCGUCUCCUAAACCAAAUUCUUAAAAUGAAAUUAGAUAGCUUGUUGAUGCCUAUCCGCAGGCGACUAUGUAGUAUCGGACGCUUACCGUCCCAGGUAAUAUCCUCACAACACUGUCCACAGAAGCUGAGGAAGAGAGAGCAAAGAGAGUUGCUGGAUCCUUUAGAUGACGAUGAAUCAAAGGCCCAAAACUGGAUCGAAACCAAAUGAAGACAAACAAAAGAAUGACACACGCAGCACUCUAAAUGUUAUUUACCAUCAAGGGAGACCUCUUUGGCAUCAAUGGCACUGUGCUGAGCAGCAAGAUUAACAUUGAGAACAUUUUGAGCCAAUACUGCAAAUGGCGGCCUAGGCUGCUGAUUUCCACCUAGUAGGUGCGAUCUAUUUGCUAAUUUGCAAUAUUCUGGUUCAUCACCGAUAUCGGUCUUUCUGAAUAUCAACAAAGGAGUUUUUACUAUGCAAUACACUUUUGUAUAGAGAUUUCUAAAAUGUAAACCCAAUGUACCUUGUUUUUUUAGCAGGCGAUGCAUUUAAUUUAUUGUGGAAUAUGAUUCUUUUGUUAUUAGAGUUGAGAUACGAAUUUUUA
Mercurialis annua (annual mercury) is the source of this 665-nucleotide long non-coding RNA. RefSeq lists it as uncharacterized. The transcript has 3 exons. Lineage: Eukaryota; Viridiplantae; Streptophyta; Magnoliopsida; Malpighiales; Euphorbiaceae. The record is from RefSeq and is a predicted model, not a curated record.